This 30-nucleotide non-coding RNA is filed under the name Mus musculus (house mouse). The record is from RNAcentral. Lineage: Eukaryota; Metazoa; Chordata; Mammalia; Rodentia; Muridae.
UGGGUUGAUCCAUUUCCCAUCAGUAACUAA